Molecule: ribosomal RNA, 931 nt
Filed under: uncultured archaeon
Lineage: Archaea
Description: bacterial SSU rRNA
Rfam family: Archaeal small subunit ribosomal RNA
Source: RNAcentral
GGUUGAUCCUGCCGGACCCGACUGCUAUUUGGGUGAGAUUAAGCCAUGCAAGUCGUAUGGGAUACCUAAAGUUCCCAUGGCGCACUGCUCAGUAACACAUGAUUAACUUACCCUAUGGAGAAAAAUAACCUCGGGAAACUGAGGAUAAUAUUUCAUAGUUGAGAAGGCUUGGAAAAGUUUUUCAAUCAAAAGGAUAAGAAAAAUGGUUCUUAUCUGCCAUAGGAUAGGAUCGUGGUCGAUUAUGGUUGUUGGCGAGGUAAUGGCUCACCAAGCCGAUAAUCGAUAGGGGCCGUGAGAGCGGGAGCCCCGAGAUGGGUACUGAGACAACGACCCAGGCCUUACGAGGCGCAGCAGGCGCGAAACCUCCGCAAUACACGCAAGUGUGACGGGGUCACCCAAAGUGUCCUUUAUAGGACUGUGAUAGGUGGGUAAUAUCCCCUAUCAGAAAGGAGAGGGCAAGGCUGGUGCCAGCCGCCGCGGUAAAACCAGCUCUUCAAGUGGUCGGGAUCUUUAUUGGGCUUAAAGUGUCCGUAGCCGGUUUAGUAAGUUCCUGGUAAAAUCGGAUAGCUUAACUAUUCGCAUGCUAGGAAUACUGCUAUACUAGAGGGCGGGAGAGGUCUGAGGUACUACUAGGGUAGGGGUGAAAUCUUAUAAUCCUUUUAGGACCACCAGUGGCGAAGGCGUCAGACUGGAACGCGCCUGACGGUGAGGGACGAAAGCUAGGGGAGCGAACCGGAUUAGAUACCCGGGUAGUCCUAGCCGUAAACGAUGCAUACUAGGUGAUGGCACGGCCAUGAGCCGCGUCAGUGCCGUAGGGAAACCGUUAAGUGUGCCGCCUGGGAAGUACGGUCGCAAGGCUGAAACUUAAAGGAAUUGGCGGGGGAGCACCACAAGGGGUGAAGCCUGCGGUUUAAUUGGAGUCAACGCCGGG